GCCGGGCAUGGUGGUGGGCGCCUGUAAUCCUGGCUACUCAGGAGGCUGAGGCAGGAGACUCGUUUGAACCCAGGAGGUGGAGGUCGCAGUGAGUUGAGAUGGUACCACUGCACUCCAGCCUGGGUGACAAAGUGAGACUCUGCCUCAA
Molecule: non-coding RNA, 148 nt
Filed under: Chlorocebus sabaeus (green monkey)
Lineage: Eukaryota; Metazoa; Chordata; Mammalia; Primates; Cercopithecidae
Source: Rfam by way of RNAcentral